CAUUCAGUACGCAACGAACUUUGCAAGCAAACGGUUGUCGAUGCUCUCGUCGUAGCCAAUAGGAAUCGCACGCGUCGUCGCUGCCACGUGAAUUUCAACAGGGAAAAAGGAACCCAAAAAUAAGCACGCGCGCGUUACACAUGUGCGCGCCUGCAUGUGUGUGUGUAUGUGUGAGUGACUGUGUCGGUGCGUGUGUGCGUGCAUUUAUUUAUAAGCAGCGGCCAAUGUAAAAGUGUACAACAAAGUUGAGAAAGAUAUAGAAAGCAGAAAAUAAUCCAAAAUCUAUAAAUAAACCAGGCGGCUGCAGUUGACAAAAACAGCAGAAACACAAGAGAUUCGAAAUUAAGCGAAAUGAAAGCGAAAUUCAAAUUCGAACAGCUGCUGGCAGCGAUGCUCUGCUCGCUGCUUGCGUUUGCCGUCGCUGCUGCAUCCGAAGCACAGUCCGGCAACAGCUACGGUGCAUCCUUCAUAUCAAAUCCGGCUAUAUACGCCUAUACCGUUUCCAAUCAGCAGCAGCAACAACAACAACAACAACAGCAACAACAAAGACAAAAUCUCGACAGUCAAAACUUCAUAAACUUCGACACUGGCAAUUCGAAUGCAAAUGUAAAUGGCAAUUACCGCAAUUACUACUACACGGAUUCCAAUGCCACGCCCACGCAGAAUACGCCAGCCGUCAGCGCAGCCCCGGCCGCAGCCACGCAGCCAGCCCCCCUAACGGGCUGCACUCUGGACCGCCUGGCCGUCUAUAAGGUCGUCCUGCACACCUAUUGGACGCGCGAACUCUUCCCCAAGCACUAUCCGGACUGGCGGCCCACUGCCCAGUGGACCAAGACCCUAGGUCGCACACACAAUGCCAACUAUGCGCUAUACCACAUCGGACAGCCGGCAACGGGAGGCGUAAAGCAGUUCGCCGAGACGGGCAAAACUGAGCUGCUGGACAGCAAUGCCGGCGAGCAGCAGCAGCAACAGAUGCAGGCACAGGCACGGGCAACCUCAGCGGCAGCAGCAACCGGUGCUGGUAGUGCCGGAUCUGCUCCUGCAACGGCCGAGCGCAGCGUGUUUGACGAGUUUAGCCUGCCGGCCAUCCAGCUGGGAGCGGGGCGCAGCGAGGCGAAGGUGUUUGUGGACAGCAAUCACAGUUUGGUGUCGCUAAUGACACGCAUUGUGCCCUCGCCGGACUGGUUCAUCGGCGUCGACUCGUUUGAGCUCUGCGUGGGCGGCUCCUGGAUUGAUACGGUGACCGUGGAGCUGGAUCCACUCGAUGCGGGCACCGACAACGGCUUCACCUUCACCGCACCCAACUGGCCAACGGCGCCCCAGGGCGUCAUCUAUCGCAUCACCUCGCGCUAUCCGGCCCAUCCGGCGGGCAGCUUUUACUAUCCGAAGAGCAAGCGCUUGCCGCCCAUCGCCACCUUCCAGUUUAUCAAGCUAAAGGAGUACGAACUGAGCGAAGUAUUCAACAUUGCCGAGGACGAUCGCAAAUAUGAAACAGUUCAGACCCAAACCCACCUCGACGCCGAGCACAAUCACGUGGAGAUGAACAACGAGCUCUCAGCCAGCAUCGAGCGGGAGAGGCAGCGGGACAGGGACUGGGCACUGCAGACACCGUUCACUGAUGAGAGACAGCGCAUUCGCUCCCAGCUGCUGGCCAAAAUGAACCCCAACUACAACAACAACAACAACAGCAACUGCAACAGCAACAGCAACAGCAAACAAAAGCUGCUCUCCAGCCCAACACACUUCAAGGCACAUUACACUACGCCACUGCAAGAAGGUUGCAAGUGGGCCCAAGACACUGACUGAGAGCGAGGCACGUAGCUGGGCUAAUGUUGCAACUUUAAAGAGAACUCGCCCCAAUACCAAAGCAGCAGCAAAGGAAGACAAAGAAGGAAAAUGCUAGUGUUGAGCGAAAGAGACAGCUAAAGAAUACCCUACCAUGAGAUUUAACAAUUCGAUAACUCCGGAUCAGAUUGACUAAAGAUAGUUGAGCGAAAGAGCCUCUCGAGUACCCUACCAUGAGAUAGUUGGAUGAGUAAAUACGUUUCACAAUCCGCAUUAGCAAAUAUAUAUGCAAGUGCAUGAAGUGAUGCUGUGAUGAUGAUCUCCUCACGUCUGUUCAGAUAAAUUUACUCGGUUCCCAUUUUAUUUAAUGGCAGGCCUGGCCUAAGAUCAGUUAUUGGGUUAUAUAUAUAGACAGUCGUCGGCAAAAGGUUUUUUGGUAGAAUAUAAUGUGUGCUUAUUCAUUUAAUAUUACUCGGCAUAUCUGAGUUCUACUAAAUUUGUAAACUUUCAAUUUAUAAUAUCAAUAAAGGUUAAUUGGUUGUCAUCUGCUUAAAAGCGAUUAAUUUAGCACGCAGAUUCUGAUAAGGCUCUUAUGUAAUGAACUGGCCAGUGCUUAAGUUGUUAAUUUCAAUUUUAUAUUAAAUUUCAUCUAAAAUAUACAAUAUUAACAAAUAUUUUUAGUUAAUAUAUUACUUACAAUAUAUUAGGCAAAAAAAAGAAAACAAAAAAAGCCAAAAUUCUCCAAACUGAAAUUUAAGAGUUUCGCUAAGAAAUAUUCGAAUUUUAUAUUGCAUUGAUAAAUUUGCCAUCGACUGCACAUUAAUUAAGUGAUAUAAGAUCCAGCGCAAUUUAUUUACCGUGGCUCGACAGGGUAUACGAAUGGGCUCGAAAAACUUAGUACAGGAUUUCAACUCGACAUAGACAACAGUGUCCUCGACGUGCAGGAUGCGAAGCGCGAAGGCGACAACUAAUCCAGUGCCACGCCCAUCACGAUGCAUCGUGCAACUGGAGUGGAUUUUUGGCACCAUUGGCACUGCUAACCUGCAUAUUUAAUGACAAGCCGAAGCCGGAGCUAAGCAGGAGGCGUUGCACGGCUGGAGGGUGGCUGCGUACGUGUCUGAGUGCCAGCUGGCUAAAGUGCCGAUGGCCAUGCGUGGGCGUGGCUGGCUCGCUUCAACAGCAAUUGGCAAGCUGACAAAAGCGCCAACAGCGCCAAAGCAACCAAAGCAGCCAAAGCAAUGCCAAGCGCCAAAACCUGCUCGGACAGUGUAAUUACUCGCAAUCUUAUCAAUGCCAGCGCGCGCGCCUCCGCUGCUCUGUCUGUCCAUAAAAGCCGAGGCACUCGAAAGCCACCCACAGCACUCACUCGACCCAGCUCUCUGCGGCCACAACAUGUUCGCAUUGGCACCGACUAUCACGCUCAUUGCUAUGAACAGCGCAUGCAACAUGCAGGGGCAGCAACAGCAGCUGCCGGGACGCAUGCAGCAGAUGCAGAUGCAACGCCAACGCGAGCUGCAGCUGGCGAAAACUGAGCGAAAGCAACGGCAGCAGGCAAAGCAGCAGCUGAAAGAAAAUACCAAGAAAACACAUAGAAAGUGGUACAAGAAACUGUUGAAAGGGCACGAGAAAAAAGAACCCGACAUGGAAAAUGCAGAAGAUAAGACAUUGCCAAUUAAAGAAGGAAGCGAAAGAAAAUUAUUCAUGCCUGAUUAAUGAUGAAAAAAGAUUAAAAAGAAUUAAUAUCGAUAUAGAAGCUAAGAAGUUCUGUAGCGAUAACAAUUCUAGAGUCAACACGUAGAGCUUCAAUUCAGUUAAGCAGAUAAUCUAACUGUAUCUCAAUAGUAUUCUAUUAUUUUAAAAGUAGAGCAAUGAUAUAAAAGCAAUUCAAAUAAUAUAGAAAUUGAGCAAGUGAAAAAUCUGUAAAAUAUUUAUGCGCAGAUAUAAAGAAACAGAGAAAAAUCUUAUAUUGAUUGACUUGGGUUUUACUAUAUUUAGAAGGUUGUUUUUAUAGAAAAUAACCAAUAAAUAACCAAAUAUACGCAGCACACUAAAACGAUAACAUCAAGCAAGAGAUCCCCAAGAGAAGCAACGAAAAUUCCCAGAAAACUCAAUUCCACUUCCAUUUAUAUAUAACGAACGAUAUAAGAAAAAAAAAUAGAAUGCAAUA
Molecule: RNA transcript, 3952 nt
Organism: Drosophila mojavensis
Lineage: Eukaryota; Metazoa; Arthropoda; Insecta; Diptera; Drosophilidae
Gene: mspo
Exons: 6
Source: RefSeq, a predicted model, not a curated record